Molecule: unclassified non-coding RNA, 380 nt
Filed under: soil metagenome
Description: partial contains 5.8S ribosomal RNA, internal transcribed spacer 2, and large subunit ribosomal RNA
Rfam family: 5.8S ribosomal RNA (bases 1-120)
Source: RNAcentral
GAUGAAGAACGCAGCGAAAUGCGAUAAGUAAUGUGAAUUGCAGAAUUCAGUGAAUCAUCGAAUCUUUGAACGCACCUUGCACCCUUUGGUAUUCUGAAGGGUAUGCUCGUUUGAGUGUCAUUGUACUCUCACACUCCCGAUCUUUGCAUUGGGAGCAGUGGACUUGGGUUUGCUGCUUCACCGUCGCUUACCUCAAAUAGGUUAGUGCAACUCUUGGUUGGACAUAGUACGGCGUGAUAAGUGUUCUUCGCCGGUGCCUCGCAAAGAGGGUGGCUGAUCGGGAUGUUGUGCUCCAAACCGUCUUCGGACAAUCUCUGACGACUUGACCUCAAAUCGAGUAAGACUACCCGCUGAACUUAAGCAUAUCAAUAAGCGGAGGA